ACCAGACAUGGCAUCCACGUUCUUACGCCAGUCGGUCACUUCCUCUUUCUGUGGGCUUUAUCAUUUGUGUUAAUAUCCUGGAUUCAGGCUGCUAUGAGGACUUCCAGGAAAUAGCAG
This is a long non-coding RNA of Epinephelus fuscoguttatus (brown-marbled grouper), 117 nucleotides long. RefSeq lists it as uncharacterized. The record is from RefSeq and is a predicted model, not a curated record. Lineage: Eukaryota; Metazoa; Chordata; Actinopteri; Perciformes; Serranidae. The transcript has 3 exons.